Molecule: ribosomal RNA, 498 nt
Filed under: uncultured bacterium
Lineage: Bacteria
Description: partial 16S ribosomal RNA
Rfam family: Bacterial small subunit ribosomal RNA
Source: RNAcentral
AUUGAACGCUGGCGGCAUGCCUUACACAUGCAAGUCGAACGGUAACAGGUCUUCGGAUGCUGACGAGUGGCGAACGGGUGAGUAAUACAUCGGAACGUGCCUAGUAGUGGGGGAUAACUACUCGAAAGAGUGGCUAAUACCGCAUGAGAUCUACGGAUGAAAGCAGGGGAUCGCAAGACCUUGUGCUACUAGAGCGGCCGAUGGCAGAUUAGGUAGUUGGUGGGAUAAAAGCUUACCAAGCCGACGAUCUGUAGCUGGUCUGAGAGGACGAUCAGCCACACUGGGACUGAGAGACGGACCAGACUCCUACGGGAGGCAGCAGUGGGGAAUUUUGGACAAUGGGCGCAAGCCUGAUCCAGCAAUGCCGCGUGCAGGAUGAAGGCCUUCGGGUCGUAAACUGCUUUUGUACGGAACGAAAAGCCCCGGGUUAAUACCCUGGGGUCAUGACGGUACCGUAAGAAUAAGCACCGGCUAACUACGUGCCAGCCGCCGCGGUAA